GCCACGCCCCUACCCCUUUCCCCUUCUCCCCCCUCGGAAGGGGGGCGUGGAGGGAACCGGGAUCAGCAGGGGCCAGCAUGAGCCAGAGGGAGGGAAGUCUGGAAGACCCCCAGGCUGACGAUUCAAUCUCACUCCUUCCCCACUUGGAGGCCAAGAUCCGUCAGACACACAGCCUUGCCCGCCUCCUCACCAAAUACGCAGAGCAGCUGCUCCAGGAAUAUGUGCAGCACCAGGGAGAUCCCUUCGGGCUGCCGAGCUUCUCGCCUCCGCGGCUGCCAG
Ictidomys tridecemlineatus (thirteen-lined ground squirrel) is the source of this 279-nucleotide long non-coding RNA. Ensembl lists it as uncharacterized. The record is from Ensembl. Lineage: Eukaryota; Metazoa; Chordata; Mammalia; Rodentia; Sciuridae.